UACAGAGGGUGCGAGCGUUGUCCGGAAUCACUGGGCGUAAAGGGCGCGUAGGUGGUGGCUUAAGCGUGCGGUGAAAGCUCGGGGCUCAACUCCGAGUCGGCCGUGCGAACUGGGCUCACUGGAGCAUAGUAGAGGCAGGUGGAAUUCCGGGUGUAGCGGUGGAAUGCGUAGAGAUCCGGAAGAACACCAGUGGCGAAGGCGGCCCGCUGGGCAGUGGCUGACGCUGAGGCGCGACAGCGUGGGGAGCAAACAGG
RNAcentral lists this ribosomal RNA (254 nucleotides) under uncultured bacterium. Its description in RNAcentral is "partial 16S ribosomal RNA". It matches the Rfam family "Bacterial small subunit ribosomal RNA", at positions 524 to 776 of the family's 1533-position model. The record is from RNAcentral.